Molecule: non-coding RNA, 19 nt
Filed under: Mus musculus (house mouse)
Lineage: Eukaryota; Metazoa; Chordata; Mammalia; Rodentia; Muridae
Source: RNAcentral
UUGUACACACCGCCCGUCG